GGGCCUAUAGUUCAAUGGUAGAACGCGUCCAUGGCAUGGACGAGGCUGGGGUCCGAUUCCCCAUAGGUCCACCA
This 74-nucleotide transfer RNA is filed under the name Patescibacteria group bacterium. Its description in RNAcentral is "tRNA-Ala". It matches the Rfam family "tRNA". From Rfam's summary of the family: Transfer RNA (tRNA) molecules are approximately 80 nucleotides in length. The record is from RNAcentral.